Molecule: ribosomal RNA, 321 nt
Filed under: uncultured bacterium
Lineage: Bacteria
Description: bacterial SSU rRNA
Rfam family: Bacterial small subunit ribosomal RNA
Source: RNAcentral
GAGAAAUUUGAGCUAAUACCGGNUAAUGUCUUCGGACCAAAGAUUUAUCGCCUUUAGAUGGGCCCGCGUUGGAUUAGCUAGUUGGUGGGUAAAGGCCUACCAAGGCGACGAUCCAUAGCUGGUCUGAGAGGAUGAUCAGCCACACUGGGACUGAGACACGGCCCAGACUCCUACGGGAGGCAGCAGUGGGGAAUAUUGGACAAUGGGCGAAAGCCUGAUCCAGCAAUGCCGCGUGAGUGAUGAAGGCCUUAGGGUUGUAAAGCUCUUUUACCCGAGAUGAUAAUGACAGUAUCGGGAGAAUAAGCUCCGGCUAACUCCGUG